CUACGGGGGCUGCAGUGAGGAAUAUUGCACAAUGGGGGGAACCCUGAUGCAGCAACGCCGCGUGGAGGAUGACGCAUUUCGGUGUGUAAACUCCUUUUAUAUGUCAAGAAAAUGGCGGUAGCAUAUGAAUAAGCACCGGCUAACUCCGUGCCAGCAGCCGCGGUAAUACGGAGGGUGCAAGCGUUACUCGGAAUCACUGGGCGUAAAGGACGCGUAGGCGGGUUGGAAAGUCAGGUGUGAAAUCCUACAGCUUAACUGUAGAACUGCACUUGAAACUUCUAAUCUAGAGUAUGGGAGGGGGAGAUGGAACUAGUGGUGUAGGGGUAAAAUCCGUAGAUAUCACUAGGAAUACCUAAAGCGAAGGCGAUCUCCUGGAACAUUACUGACGCUAAGGCGUGAAAGCGUGGGGAGCAAACAGGAUUAGAUACCCGAGUAGUC
Molecule: ribosomal RNA, 438 nt
Filed under: uncultured bacterium
Lineage: Bacteria
Description: partial 16S ribosomal RNA
Rfam family: Bacterial small subunit ribosomal RNA
Source: RNAcentral